This 221-nucleotide long non-coding RNA is filed under the name Elaeis guineensis (African oil palm). Its description in RNAcentral is "long non-coding RNA (EGUI_LNC069615)". The record is from RNAcentral. Lineage: Eukaryota; Viridiplantae; Streptophyta; Magnoliopsida; Arecales; Arecaceae.
GUGAAAGCAUUAUUCUUAGUUAUCACAAUUUUAUUACAAUCAAGGACAAUUUUAUAUCCUCUCUGAAUCAGCUGAGACCCACUAACUAGGUUCUUUCUAAGGUCUGAAAUGUAUAAUACAUCCGUCAGGAUAAGAACUUUUUCAGAAGUCAUCUUCAAGUUAAUUCGUCCUUAUUCCUUGAUCCUGACGGUUGUAUUGUUCCCAAGGAUUAUACCUCCUCC